Molecule: long non-coding RNA, 405 nt
Organism: Thunnus maccoyii (southern bluefin tuna)
Lineage: Eukaryota; Metazoa; Chordata; Actinopteri; Scombriformes; Scombridae
Exons: 3
Source: RefSeq, a predicted model, not a curated record
CUUAUUGGUCCUGUCCAGCAGCUCUUGGAGCUCAGACACCCUGCUGCUGUCAUCGUGAGCGUCUAUGGAGCCGUUGGGCAGUCUCUCUCAAAGUGAAGUUAAUUCCAGGGCCUUAAUUAAACAAACCUUCAGGGACACCCAUUCAGACAGGCAACACAGUGGGCAGCCAAAGUGUACCUGGUCUGGCCUGAUUGGGGAAAACCUAUAGAGGGGGCUUGGCUCAUUCUCUUUUUCCUCCUGGCCUCAGCAGCAGCAUUCUGAGAUGUGACCAGUUUGAAUUAAUUCCUUUCUUUUGUUAAUUCUUUGUUAUUAUGGGUCUGGUAGUCCUGUUUUCAUAGAUUUAUUUCUGUUAGGUUUAAUUCUGGGUGGCUUUCCUUCCUUUUUUAAAUUUUGGCCCGCCCAUCA